This is a long non-coding RNA of Carassius auratus (goldfish), 936 nucleotides long. RefSeq lists it as uncharacterized. The transcript has 3 exons. Lineage: Eukaryota; Metazoa; Chordata; Actinopteri; Cypriniformes; Cyprinidae. The record is from RefSeq and is a predicted model, not a curated record.
GGUUUUAAACCUGACUCAGACGUACAUAAAAAUAUAUUAAGGAAGUGGUAUUUAUCUCUGAGCAUCUUCAUGUUCCAUUCUGAAACAAGCACUAAACAUUUCCUACACACACAUCCAAACCAGUGUACAGUCAGAACGUCACCCCUUACUGCAAAUUUGAUUAUGAAAAUGUAUUCAAACCAAUAUGGAAAUUGUAUAUUGGCUUGUUUAAUUCCCACAAACAGAAACGGUGAAAGAUGUUGGUGGCGGUGAAUAUUUUUUGAAGGGCUGGGUGGCAUUCACUGUGAAGCUUUCUAAGUUUUUCUUCAUCAUUCUUUUUUUUUUUUUAUUGUCAUCUAAUCUUUUUUGAUUGACAUUCACAGCGAUGAGGCAUAAGAGAUUAUGGGGAAAUAUUCAAAGACUGCAAAAAACUCCAGCAUGAGGAGAACUGCUAAGCAAGGACUGCUACAGGAAUUAAAAAAAUAUUGAGUAAACUGAUCAUUCUCUGAUCAAUUCUUCAAACUGUCAUCAUUUCCAGGACUGGAGCGGGACUCUGACUCGCCGAAACAAACAGCAUCCUAGUGCCUAUAGGGCAAUGUGCUGUCACUAUGUACUAUAGUACUGUGACCUCAGAGCUGCCACAGGGCUCUGAAAAGGAUGAAGAUGCCACAGACCUGAGUAACAUCCUCUUCAGACGACAACAGCUGCAAAACCGUCUUCAGUUCCUACAGGAGAUCCAAAAGAAGAACAACAGAAUCGAGGGAUACCUUGCAAAUGAAGAGGGCCCUACAGAACUGGACAGAAUCGAGGAGGAGUUGAAGCUACUGGAGCAAAAAGAGAAGGAUCUUGUUCAGAAAAAUAAUCAAUGUUUGACAACACAGAGCACAGACAAAGGCAUGUUUCUACAUUAUACAUUAGAAAUAUUUAAGACACACACACAUAUGCAUAUACACACAC